CACAUAGCUCCGAUGUCCGUGUCUGCACAGUUUCCUCAAACCACAGACUGUAAAAGAAACCUCGAACGCACAGCAACGUUGGUAAUACUGAGAUUUAAAAACUUUUAAAACCAUGACGAGAGAGACUCAACGACUACAGCAAAGAGCUGCUGUUUUUAUGAAAAAGAGAAGAGAAAGCGAGGAGCGGAGUAGAGAGGAGAAGAAGGAGAACGAGAGGGGAACGGAGGAGAGGGCAGUUCCAUGGCAGCAUCAAGCCAUCCCAGAUGGCCCAAACCCCUCAGCCAUCUGGUGAGGAGUCGUCUCUCCAUCAGUCUGUCCCCUUUCAUUUAGUAGUCAUGGAGUUCUCUCUCUCUCUCUCUCGACCCUAACACUUCAGCUCUCUCUCUCUCUCUCGACCCUAACACUUCAGCUCUCUCUCUCUCUCUCCACCAUGACCCUAACACUUCAGCCCUGUCUCUCUCUCUCUCCACCAUGACCCUAACACUUCAGCCCUGUCUCUCUCUCUCCACCAUGACCCUAACACUUCAGCCCUGUCUCUCUCUCCCUCUCUCGACCCUAACACUUCAGCCCUGUCUCUCUCUACACCAUGACCCUAACACUUCAGCCCUGUCUCUCUCUCCACCAUGACCCUAACACUUCAGCUCUCUCUCUCUCUCCACCAUGACCCUAACACUUCAGCUCUCUCUCUCUCUCUCUCCACCAUGACCCUAACACUUCAGCCCUCUCUCUCUCUCUCUCCACCAUGACCCUAACACUUCAGCCCUCUCUCUCUCUCUCUCCACCAUGACCCUAACACUUCAGCCCUGUCUCUCUCUCUCUCCACCAUGACCCUAACACUUCAGCCCUGUCUCUCUCUCUCUCUCUCUCUCUCUCGACCCUAACACUUCAGCUCUCUCUCUCUCUCCACCAUGACCCUAACACUUCAGCCCUGUCUCUCUCUCUCUCUCGACCCUAACACUUCAGCCGUCUCUCUCUCUCUCGACCCUAACACUUCAGCCCUGUCUCUCUCUCUCUCUCUCUCGACCCUAACACUUCAGCCCUGUCUCUCUCUCCACCAUGACCCUAACACUUCAGCCCUGUCUCUCUCUCUCUCCACCAUGACCCUAACACUUCAGCCCUGUCUCUCUCUCUCUCUCCACCAUGACCCUAACACUUCAGCCCUGUCUCUCUCUCUCUCCACCAUGACCCUAACACUUCAGCCCUGUCUCUCUCUCUCUCCACCAUGACCCUAACACUUCAGCCCUGUCUCUCUCUCUCUCCACCAUGACCCUAACACUUCAGCCCUGUCUCUCUCUCUCCACCAUGACCCUAACACUUCAGCCCUGUCUCUCUCUCCCUCUCUCGACCCUAACACUUCAGCCCUGUCUCUCUCUACACCAUGACCCUAACACUUCAGCCCUGUCUCUCUCUCCACCAUGACCCUAACACUUCAGCUCUCUCUCUCUCUCCACCAUGACCCUAACACUUCAGCUCUCUCUCUCUCUCUCCACCAUGACCCUAACACUUCAGCCCUGUCUCUCUCUCUCUCCACCAUGACCCUAACACUUCAGCCCUGUCUCUCUCUCUCUCUCUCUCUCUCUCGACCCUAACACUUCAGCCCUGUCUCUCUCUCUCUCUCUCGACCCUAACAUUUCAGCCCUGUCUCUCUCUCUCUCUCUCUCGACCCUAACACUUCAGCCCUGUCUCUCUCUCCACCAUGACCCUAACACUUCAGCCCUGUCUCUCUCUCUCUCUCUCUCCACCAUGACCCUAACACUUCAGCCCUGUCUCUCUCUCUCUCUCCACCAUGACCCUAACACUUCAGCCCUGUCUCUCUCUCUCUCCACCAUGACCCUAACACUUCAGCCCUGUCUCUCUCUCUCUCUCUCUCUCUCUCGACCCUAACACUUCAGCUCUCUCUCUCUCCACCAUGACCCUAACACUUCAGCCCUGUCUCUCUCUCUCUCCACCAUGACCCUAACACUUCAGCCCUGUCUCUCUCUCUCUCUCUCUCUCUCUCUCUCGACCCUAACACUUCAGCCCUGUCUCUCUCUCUCUCUCUCGACCCUAACACUUCAGCCCUGUCUCUCUCUCUCUCUCUCUCUCGACCCUAACACUUCAGCCCUGUCUCUCUCUCCACCAUGACCCUAACACUUCAGCCCUGUCUCUCUCUCUCUCUCUC
This 2161-nucleotide long non-coding RNA is filed under the name Salmo salar (Atlantic salmon). RNAcentral's name for it is "lncRNA (ENSSSAG00000092976.1)". The record is from RNAcentral. Lineage: Eukaryota; Metazoa; Chordata; Actinopteri; Salmoniformes; Salmonidae.